RNAcentral lists this ribosomal RNA (467 nucleotides) under uncultured bacterium. RNAcentral's name for it is "bacterial SSU rRNA". It matches the Rfam family "Bacterial small subunit ribosomal RNA", at positions 28 to 507 of the family's 1533-position model. The record is from RNAcentral.
GACGAACGCUGGCGGCGUGCCUAACACAUGCAAGUCGAACGGGGUGUCGGGAGCUUGCUUCUGACACUUAGUGGCGAACGGGUGAGUAACGCGUGAGGAACCUGCCUUUCAGUGGGGGACAACAGUUGGAAACGACUGCUAAUACCGCAUAAUGUAUUCGAGCGGCAUCCCCGAAUAACCAAAGAUUUAUUGCUGAAAGAUGGUCUCGCGUCUGAUUAGCUAGUUGGUGAGGUAACGGCUCACCAAGGCGACGAUCAGUAGCCGGUCUGAGAGGAUGAACGGCCACAUUGGGACUGAGAUACGGCCCAGACUCCUACGGGAGGCAGCAGUGGGGAAUAUUGGGCAAUGGGGGAAACCCUGACCCAGCAACGCCGCGUGAAGGAAGAAGGCUUUCGGGUUGUAAACUUCUUUUACCAGGGACGAAGGACGUGACGGUACCUGGAGAAAAAGCAACGGCUAACUACGUG